CAGACUACAAUUGUGAGUCCUGAACGAUAGCUGCCUCAAAGCGCCUUCAUGAUACUAUCCUGAAAUGACUACUCUGAAAUGUGGACAGUGAAGUUUGGUGAAUUUGGUCAUUUAGUUUCUUCAAAGAUAAUGAGAUUGUGUUUCCCCUAAGGAUGUAUUUACAGCUAGUCAGUGGAAACUGAAUCCAUUCCCAGUUUUAAUGCUUUUCCAGUUCAAACGUGAUAUGCAUGUAUGUGUCUCUUUCUAACCCUUCGAGCUUCUCUCUGUGUACGAUUUAGGGUUACAUUCCGAAAAGCAAAUGGGAGAUGGACACAUCUGAGGCAAAGCUAGACAAGUUGGAUGGCUUGAGGACUGGUACUAAAAGGAAACGUGACUGGGAGGCCAUUGCCAGCAGAAUGGAGGAUUAU
RNAcentral lists this small RNA (407 nucleotides) under Pongo abelii (Sumatran orangutan). Its description in RNAcentral is "retained intron". Lineage: Eukaryota; Metazoa; Chordata; Mammalia; Primates; Hominidae. The record is from RNAcentral.